RNAcentral lists this ribosomal RNA (253 nucleotides) under uncultured bacterium. RNAcentral's name for it is "partial 16S ribosomal RNA". It matches the Rfam family "Bacterial small subunit ribosomal RNA", at positions 524 to 776 of the family's 1533-position model. The record is from RNAcentral.
UACGUAGGGACCGAGCGUUGUCCGGAUUCAUUGGGCGUAAAGCGCACGUAGGCGGCUCCAAAAGUCGGAUGUGAAAUCCCUGGGCUCAACCGAGGAAGUGCAUCCGAAACUGCGGAGCUUGAGUAUGGAAGAGGGUCGCGGAAUUCCCGGUGUAGAGGUGAAAUUCGUAGAUAUCGGGAGGAACACCAGUGGCGAAGGCGGCGACCUGGGCCAAUACUGACGCUGAGGUGCGAAAGCGUGGGGAGCAAACAGG